UUAAUAAUGGGUUAAAAUGCAUGAUGGCCUAUUGUGUGUGUAGUGUGGCUUUUAAUACUCUCCACCCUCAUUAUAAGGCUCUCUCCUAUAAAUACAUAGUUUAAAAACACCACAGAAUUAAGAAUAGCUGCCCUCAAGUUAAAAACAACUCCUCUUUAUAACAUUUGAAAUGCUCAACCAUAAAAGAAUGGUAUUAUAAAGAGGGUGCUGGGUACAAUCAUAUUUGAGCUAUUUUUUUGUUUAUGUGAAAUCAUAUGUUCACCAUUGUCUUGUAAUGUAUUUACAUUUUUAAGACUUUCAGUAAUUUGUCACUGGAGUUAACUCUUGUAAUAAUUUGUCACCAAUGCUGACUUUACCUGCCAAUUUUAUAAAGUAUUAUUUUGUUGACAAUAAAAUGUCAAGCUCAAUUUUAAUUGCCCUGCAUACUUUGAGAUGUAUAAAACACAGUUUCAAUAAUUAAAAAAUAUUAAAGAUAGGUGUUUUAGAUAUCAAGAUUGUUGCAGAUCAAAUUGAGAUAAUAUAUUAGAAGGAUAUUGUAAAUUGUAAUGCCUACAAAAAUACUAGGUAUCACUGAGUAAUGUUUACUAAACUGUUGCUUAGCAACAACUGUUAAACUAGUAAUAAAUACAUUAGUGUUACUCUAUUAUGUUAGUGAGGCUAAUUUUUCUUGUUUAUGUUUGAUUUUAAGGGGUGCGCUUUUAAUAUUAAUAGCCUAUAAUUUAGAUUCAUUUAUAAGAUUUGUUUGAGCAUUUGAUUGGACAUUUGAAAAACGUAAGUUUGCUAACCCAUAGUGGAGAAAUCAGUCUAUCAGUGUCAUAAGAAGCCUAACAAUAAUAAUCUAAAGUUAGGUUAUUUCAUUCUUCCUUCUUCCCUUCCCCCCCUUCCUUUCUCCUCUCUUCUUUCCCCUCCUUCCCUUCUGUCUAUUUGUCUUCCUGUCUUCAAAUUACAUUUUGGCCUCCUGUAGAAGAAGAUAUAUUAGUUUAGGGACAAGAUUACAUCUAUGCUGCCUUAAAACAUUAUAACAGACUUAACUGAUGUUACUAAUGCAGCAGAAAUGUUCCAGGAUGUUGUGUUUUGUUUUGUUUUGUUUUUUUUUUUUUUGGACUUGUUUUUUCCUCCAAUGACAUGAACUACUUUGCAUCUGUCUUACCUAAUUCUAUAUGUGGACGGUAGGUAAUUGAUGACAUUUUGAAAAGUCCCCAUGUAUUAUAACUACAGGAUGCCUAUAAUCACUUCUAAAAGCUCUGAACACAUGUUUGAAAGACUUUUGAGAAAUCAUAUUUGGGAUUUCUAUUGUCUAAGUUACAAGGCUAGAACCAAUUCCCCUGUUGCUUCCCUAUAGCAGUUUAUUUAUUUACUUAUUUUUAUUUUUAAUUUUUUAGAGAUGUUGAUCUUGCUACGUUGCCCAGACGGGUCUCAAACUCCUGGGCUCAAGGAAUCCUCCCACUUCAGCCUUCCAAAGUUGUGGGAUUACAGACAUGAACCACCACUCCUCUGGCAGUUUAGACUACACUAAAUAUUAGGUUGUUAUAUAAAUCAUGAGAAAUAACUAUGUUGUAGUCAUGUUUUUGUAAUCGUUUGUGUAUCCUGCAUAAUGAGCCUGCCAGGCCCAGUUAAAAUAGUCAUAUUUUAUAUAUAGUCAUAGUCAUAUUUUAUACAUAUAGAGGUACGAGGUGAGUGAAAUUCUAAAAAAACAAAAAAAACAAAAAAAAAACUCAGGCAAUUAGAGCUAUGAGCCCUGGAGAGAGAAGCAUAAAUUUGCGUCAUUUUAUUUUUAUUGAAUAAGUUUGUAGGUAGAAUUUUACAACUGUAAACCUUAAAACUAUUUGCUUGUUAUUUGUUUCUCACAAGUUAUAAACAUAAAUUAUUUUUAUAGGGGCCUAGUUUUAGAAGGCUGAAAUUCCCUCCCAGAUUUGUUACUACCUACCACUCCAAAGAAGAAAACAGUGUGCAAGCUAGAAAAUAUGACAAACCCAACUAGGGGUUUGAGAGAACAGAGCAGGGAGGAAAGUGGAUUACAACUUUGAGGUUGACAAAUUUCUUUCUUUUGAUGAGCAUUUGUUAUUUACUAAAUAUUAUCUCAAAAACUAACCUAUAGAGAUUUUUUUUCCACUUAAGAAUUUUCUCAAUAUAGAAAAAUUCAAAAAGAAGGUAAGCUUUAGUAAACCUGCUUAUGGAGUUUUCAGUCUUAUUAAGAUUACAAAGUAAGUCUAGAGGUUUCUUAAAACUGACAAGUUGUACCAUUCAGUUCAGAAACUUGUUUUGUGCAAUAUUUGCUGCACAUUGCUUUUCCUAAGUAACUUCUUAAAAAUUAUGAUUUUUAAAAAUCUUUUUCUUUUCCUUUUUUAAAGAAAAACUGGUGUGUACAGAUCCCAGUAUAAAUUAAGGAUAUGAAAAAUGUUGUAUUACACCAGUGUUUUUUAGUUUGACUGUGGUAUCAGUGGAUUUUUUCUGAGGGAGGAAGGUCUAAAAUUUCCUUCUGUGACAUUAAGUUUUAACUGUUAAUGGAUAUUUGAGGAUAUGCCCAAACUUUAACUACUUAAAAUACAAACUAAUAAUUUUUACUCUAUUGCUAUUUAAUUUGAGCUUUAUAAGAUACCGUUUUUUAAGUUAUUUAGCAAUGAGUUCAGGUUUUUUGUCUAAAUUAUUUAUGACUUCAUAGACUUUCAGAGACAUUUUUUCUAAGCUUUUAUCUUUCCAGAGUAGUUCUCAUGAGAUUUUGUCCUGUUUAAAAUGAGAUACACCUAAUAAUUUUAAUUGCCUAAAUGGUUUUCUGUUUAGAUCUCUUAUAUUUAUUAAAUGUAGUUGAGUAUAUGAAAUUUUCUAGUUUAUGAGUAUAUGGUAAUUGUAUAUGAGAAUAAGGUAUUUUUGUGUGGAACAUGUAUUACUUUAAAACCUUACAAAGAAUAUAUGUCUAAUAUUUUUACAAAGAACUUGAGUUUUGUACAUCCCCAAAUCUAAUAAUCAAAUUUCCAAUUGAUAAUUUAGUAAGACUGGAUUAACAAAAAACUGAAACAUUUGAUAUUUCAGCUAUAAUUAUCUUAAUGUUUUCUCUAAAAGAUUAACAUAGAAAUUAGAUAAUUUGCAUCACUUAGAAAUUUUACUGGUGAAAAUUAUAAAAGAUAAGUCAGAUUCAAAUUCUUUAAAUAUUUUGUUGCUUGUCCUGUAUAUAAUUUCAUUUAAUAAUAUUUUUUAAAGACUGUGAACAUCUUUCUUUAAACCUUUUUAUUUCCUUGCCAGGAGUUUUUUCAUAGCAAAAUAAAUUGUGUUUUUUGUUUCUCAAAAAUACUGACAGUCUAAAGAAUGUUAAGCUUAAUUUGAAAACAUAAUGCAUAGCGGUGACCAACUCAUCAGAGAUAAGGGGUAGAUAUUUUUGUCAGAUUAUUUAUUAAAAUUCAUUCAUAUUUUUAACGUGAAUUUUUACCUGACCUCUCCCUAACACCUUCUCUUAAAACAUCAUGAUUUAGAAAACAGGGAAAAGUAAAAAUUUUAGAAGCUGCUAACCAAUUGAGAUGAAUGUGAAGAUUAACUUUAUAAAGCCCUGUUGCAUAUUCUGGGUCACUGUGUGUGUGUAUGUGUGUGUGUGUGUGUGUAGUUGGGAUGCUAGAUAGAUGCCAUGCCAGUUGCAGAAUCCUGACCCACAGAAUGUGGGAAAUAUAUCCAUAUCCAUAUUCAUAUCUAUGUCUAUAUACACACACAUACAUAUACACAUAUAUAAAGUAUAAGAGCACUACAGUUGGUCUCUCCAGAGUCUGUCAUUGCAUAUUUUCAGAAAGAAUACACUCUAAUCAAUUUUCUAAAAAUUAAAGUUAACUUUUAAGUGUUCUUCAAGCAUAUGGAUUUUAAAAUAAAACCUGAAAAAUAGAAGCUAUAUUUUUAAAGCAAAAUUCAACCUAUAUAUUUGUAUAUAUUUCUAAAUGUGCAUGGGAAACUUGAAUCUAGAUAACUCAUUAUUUUGUUAAUAAUAUAUUUUUAAUGUAUCUGUGCAUUUAAAAAGAUCUUAAAACCAAAGUAAAAAUGUUACCCUCACCUAACCAUGGUAUAUUUAAAUUCAAGCAGUACUUUGAAGUAUAAAAAUGCAGAUAAUAGUAUUUUCUUUAAUGCACUGGGAUGAACAUUCUAUUUUUUAAUAUUUCAUGUAAGAUUUCUUUUUAAAUGUCUAAUCUUGGAGCUCAUAUUCAACUUUUCAAAUAUUAGUAAUUUGAGAAUAAAGAGCUAUAGAAGUUAAAUUCACUUACAUAAAAUUCACUUUAAAAGAAAAUGCAUGAUUACAGAUAGAAUGAUUACUUUUAAGUUUUAGUUAAACAUAGAAAAUAUCUGCCCAUUAUCAUCAGUGUAUGCUUUUUUUUUUUUUUUUUUUUUUUUUUUUGCAAGUAAUUUACUUUCCCCAAAUGUGCUUAAAAUGGGUUUUCUGGCAUAACUGUUUGAAUUGUAAAAUGUACAUGAUUUAUUUUAGUAUUGUAAAAAAAAA
Long non-coding RNA from Sapajus apella (tufted capuchin), 4471 nucleotides. RefSeq lists it as uncharacterized. The record is from RefSeq and is a predicted model, not a curated record. NCBI's taxonomy places the organism in Eukaryota, Metazoa, Chordata, Mammalia, Primates, Cebidae. The transcript is spliced from 2 exons.